GAGCCUCCGGGGUCAGGUUUGGGUGCCUGCAGCUUUAAGUUACAACCUAUCUUGUACUUCUCCCCGGUGUGCAGGUUGAAUCUUAUCACAAGUGUCACCUGUGGGGAUUUAGGGAGGCGCUGGGACCAGUUCCGUAAGCAAGUAUCACCGGAGAGCGGGGUCUUCCGUCCCAGGACCCCGGUGCCAGUGUGACCGACGUGUGGGGCCCAGCAGUGAACUGACAGGGGCGUGGGCGUGGUCAGCAGGGCCGGGUGUGGGUGUGGGGCCGUCCACCCCGAACGCUGCGGCCGGGCCGUGGGGGCUCCUGACACCUGCAGGGCUUGCGAGGGCCCUGCUUUCUGACGGGCUGGGAGAUGCGGCCACCCCCAUCAGCAAGUGUGCCCUCGGAGGCUUCAUUCGACUCCGUUGCUUUUCCUUCACAAGGAGUAAGUCUCAGCAAACUGACUAAUGGAUCAUUCCCACCACUGUAAUUUCAGCCACUCCCAGGGAGCUGGAGGGAAAGUACUCAGCGUGUCGUUUUGAACAGUUCUCUACCCCAGGCCCUCGAUGUUCAGCAUUUGCUAAUUUCAGAAACCACUGCAUUUAACUUCUUGGAAGACCAGCUAAUUCUCCAUUCUUUGUGUUAUUGGAGAGUUGAAGUAGUCAAAACACAAAACAAGAAGUCAUACGACUGGUUUUUCUGUGGCCAAAUAUCAAAAGACAGAAGCAGAACAGUUUCAUGCCUAAGAACUUCAUGACGCAGACUCAGAAUCAAGUUUGGAUUUCAUCUGCUUCAGGGUCCCAGAACCACGCUGGUGCCUGUGGCUGCUAGAAUGACAACCACAUUCUCUUCUUUCACGUAGAAGAGGAAGGGAGCAGUUGAAAUUCUUCCUUUGCCUGUGAAAGCGAAACCUUCAGGGAGAUGUUCACUGUGGUACCAAGGAGUCAAACUCAUGGCGAAGCUGUCUUAGAGAGAAAUCUUCCUUAGGAAGCAGGCUUUCCACCUACAGGGUGAAGCUCUGGCUUCUCAGGGUGUGAUCUUUGGGCCUGCAGUCUGGGCAUCCCUGAAGCUGGUUGAAAAUGCAGACUCUCAGGCCCACCCCCAACUGCCUGGAUCAGAGUCUGCAUUGUAACAAGAUCUCCA
Long non-coding RNA from Camelus dromedarius (Arabian camel), 1123 nucleotides. RefSeq lists it as uncharacterized. The transcript is spliced from 5 exons. The record is from RefSeq and is a predicted model, not a curated record. NCBI's taxonomy places the organism in Eukaryota, Metazoa, Chordata, Mammalia, Artiodactyla, Camelidae.